RNAcentral lists this ribosomal RNA (310 nucleotides) under uncultured bacterium. Its description in RNAcentral is "bacterial SSU rRNA". It matches the Rfam family "Bacterial small subunit ribosomal RNA", at positions 505 to 796 of the family's 1533-position model. The record is from RNAcentral.
GUGUCAGCCGCCGCGGUAAUACAGAGGGCGCGAGCGUUGUCCGGAAUCACUGGGCGUAAAGGGCGCGUAGGUGGCCACUAUAAGGCCGCGGUGAAAGUUCGGGGCUCAACCCUGAAUCGGCCGCGGCGACUGUAGGGCUUGGGCACUGUAGAGGCAGAUGGAAUUCCGGGUGUAGCGGUGGAAUGCGUAGAGAUCCGGAAGAACACCGGUGGCGAAGGCGGUCUGCUGGGCAGUGGCUCGCAAGGGCCAAUAGCCGACACUGAGGCGCGACAGCGUGGGGAGCAAACAGGAUUAGAUACCCGUGUAGUCC